UUCGAAGUUUACUCACUUUCUGCCACUGAAUUUGUGUUUUCUCAAACCCUCAGGAGUUCAAUUCCCUUGCCACUGCCUUCCACAAUUCGUCUCCUUUU
Neodiprion fabricii is the source of this 98-nucleotide long non-coding RNA. RefSeq lists it as uncharacterized. NCBI's taxonomy places the organism in Eukaryota, Metazoa, Arthropoda, Insecta, Hymenoptera, Diprionidae. The transcript has 3 exons. The record is from RefSeq and is a predicted model, not a curated record.